CCUUGGUGUGAAUAGCAAUUAAGUAGGCGGACCAAUCUUCUGCCAGACGAAAAUUUCCAUGGCCCGCUGCGGCAACUUCCCCUAUGUAAAUCCCGUAUCCUUAAAAUCAUGGUAACUCCCAAAAUCACGGGAACCUCAUGCGCCCCUCACCACCCGCCUCCCACUUCCUCCGUUCUUCGUCCCCACGCCCCGAUCCCCUUCCGCCCUCCUCUUCCUAAGCCGCCGGCGUCCACCACGCGACCCCUCCUCUUCUCCACCAAGCCAGCCCGUCCCCACACGACGAGCUCGUGCAGAUCGAGGCGUCUACCACGCAGAAGACGUCGGGGAGCACGAGAGCCUCCAUUGCGCCCCCUUCCGACGGCCGCCCGGCGGUAACCCAACUCCUCCCCUCCUCUUAUCCAACACAGGGAGAAGCCGCCUGCUUCCACCGCAAGGAGACGCCGUAGACGGAACGUCCUGGGUGCUGAUCCUCACAACACACUCCAGGCAAACACCAUAUAUCUUGCAAUCUUGGUAUCUGUGUAGGUCUAACUUAGGUCAGGUGUCAUUUUAUUACUAAGGAGGCAGAAGGUUGUGUAGAUGGUCAGUGCAAAUAGGAGCUGUGAAGCGGGUGCGUCAUGGUGGCAGCAGUUGCAGCUCUGGCAGUUUGACUCGGAGUUCAAGUGGACGAAUUUUUCAGGGAAGCUUAGGGCGGUUGCUUGGGGUCCAGAAAGAACUUGUGUAUUAACAUUGAUGUCCAGAAGCUGGGGAGUGCAAACUGGGUCAACUAGAGGUGCUUGCAACUGCAAAAAAACAAGACGAACACAAACUUAAGGUCAGGAGCUUCUGGAACGCUUUAGUCGAUGAUAAAUCAGUUCAAAGUACCAUGUUCUCGAUCAAGAAAGGUUGUUUUUACAUUUGUAUUCAAAGGUCUCCCUCGCCGCACACGAGGCCGUAUGCACGACCACUGCCACUCCAUCGCUAUCGCUAUUUCUCCCCGGGAUUGGGUUUUGAUAAUUUUUUCGUGUGUGUUGUUCCCUGCAGUACAUUGUGAGGGGCGGGCUGAUACAGGGCAAACCCGGUGUAGGCCGAUCUUUCACGUUUGGAGUGGGAUCCCUCGAAGAACACGAUGAACACGGGGAAGAACGGAGAGAAAUCACAAGGGGAAACACUCAAGAACAAGUCCAAUCACACAUCCACUAGACUAUCAAACACACAAAAUCCACAAGGUACAUGAACGACAAAGGGAAAGAUACAAG
This 1238-nucleotide ribosomal RNA is filed under the name Triticum aestivum (bread wheat). RNAcentral's name for it is "partial small subunit ribosomal RNA". The record is from RNAcentral. Lineage: Eukaryota; Viridiplantae; Streptophyta; Magnoliopsida; Poales; Poaceae.